AAAAAAAUUCCCUCCUACCAACCAUCAUAAAUUCUUUCAUGGUCAAAGAGGAGAUUCUUAGGGGAAUGAACAGGCCCUAAGUGGAGAAUUGAGCAUAAUAGUUAUAUUUUCAAUCACUUUUUAUGUUUGAGGCUAGUCUGUGAGCGAGUCUUGGUUAAGGCUGCAAGGAAGGCAUAAUGACUUUGGUAACCCUUUCAAGGACAUAACUGUAGUCAAGAGUUGAAGACAACAUUAUUCAUGCAGCUGAUGUUUAAUUUGCAGUAACAAAUGCUGGAAUUCUUGAUUUCCUGAAAAUUCAGAAUUUAUAUGUUUUAUGUUCUUGAUGUAAUGGCAUAAAAGUGCCAACUUAAACACUUGGCAACUGUUUU
This 368-nucleotide unclassified non-coding RNA is filed under the name Hevea brasiliensis (rubber tree). Lineage: Eukaryota; Viridiplantae; Streptophyta; Magnoliopsida; Malpighiales; Euphorbiaceae. The record is from RNAcentral.